UACGAAGGGUGCAAGCGUUAUUCGGAAUUAUUGGGCGUAAAGGGCGCGUAGGCGGCUUUUCAAGUGACGGGUGAAAUCCCUCGGCUUAACCGAGGAACUGCCUGUCAGACUGGAAGGCUUGAGACCGGGAGAGGUGAGUGGAAUUCCCAGUGUAGCGGUGAAAUGCGUAGAUAUUGGGAGGAACACCAGUGGCGAAGGCGGCUCACUGGACCGGAACUGACGCUGAGGCGCGAAAGCGUGGGGAGCAAAC
RNAcentral lists this ribosomal RNA (250 nucleotides) under uncultured bacterium. RNAcentral describes it as "partial 16S ribosomal RNA". It matches the Rfam family "Bacterial small subunit ribosomal RNA", at positions 524 to 773 of the family's 1533-position model. The record is from RNAcentral.